This 372-nucleotide ribosomal RNA is filed under the name uncultured bacterium. RNAcentral's name for it is "bacterial SSU rRNA". It matches the Rfam family "Bacterial small subunit ribosomal RNA", at positions 527 to 898 of the family's 1533-position model. The record is from RNAcentral.
AGAGGGUGCGAGCGUUAAUCGGAAUUACUGGGCGUAAAGCGUGCGUAGACGGCUAUCUAAGUCGGGUGUGAAAGCCCCGGGCUCAACCUGGGAAUUGCAUUCGAGACUGAAUAGCUAGGGUGCGGUAGAGGGAAGCGGAAUUUCCGGUGUAGCGGUGAAAUGCGUAGAUAUCGGAAGGAACAUCAGUGGCGAAAGCGGCUUCCUGGACCAGCACCGACGUUCAGGCACGAAAGCGUGGGGAGCAAACAGGAUUAGAUACCCUGGUAGUCCACGCCAUAAACGAUGAGGACUAGACGUUGGAGGGGUAAGCCUUUCAGUGUCGUAGCUAACGCGCUAAGUCCUCCGCCUGGGGAGUACGGCCGCAAGGUUGAA